Molecule: ribosomal RNA, 462 nt
Filed under: uncultured bacterium
Lineage: Bacteria
Description: partial 16S ribosomal RNA
Rfam family: Bacterial small subunit ribosomal RNA
Source: RNAcentral
CCUACGGGAGGCAGCAGUGAGGAAUAUUGGUCAAUGGACGCAAGUCUGAACCAGCCAAGUCGCGUGCAGGAUGACGGCCCUCCGGGUUGUAAACUGCUUUUAGUUGGGAAUAAAAGGGGGCUCGUGAGCCCCGUAUUGUAUGUACCAUCAGAAAAAGGCCCGGCUAAUUCCGUGCCCGCAGCCGCGGUAAUACGGAAGGUCCGGGCGUUAUCCGGAUUUAUUGGGUUUAAAGGGAGCGUAGGCCGGCUUUUAAGUCAGCUGUGAAAGUCCGCGGCUCAACCGUACAAGUGCAGUUGAAACUGGCAGUCUUGAGUACAGGAGAGGUAGGCGGAAUUCGCGGUGUAGCGGUGAAAUGCAUAGAUAUCACGAAGAACUCCGAUUGCGAAGGCAGUUCACUGGACUGCAACUGACACUGAGGCUCGAAAGUGCGGGUAUCAAACAGGAUUAGAUACCCGUGUAGUC